GACGAACGCUGGCGGCGUGCUUAACACAUGCAAGUCGAACGGAAAGGCCCUGCUUUUGUGGGGUGCUCGAGUGGCGAACGGGUGAGUAACACGUGAGUAACCUGCCCUUGACUUUGGGAUAACUUCAGGAAACUGGGGCUAAUACCGGAUAGGAGCUCCUGCUGCAUGGUGGGGGUUGGAAAGUUUCGGCGGUUGGGGAUGGACUCGCGGCUUAUCAGCUUGUUGGUGGGGUAGUGGCUUACCAAGGCUUUGACGGGUAGCCGGCCUGAGAGGGUGACCGGCCACAUUGGGACUGAGAUACGGCCCAGACUCCUACGGGAGGCAGCAGUGGGGAAUAUUGCGCAGUGGGCGGAAGCCAGAUGCAGCAACGCCGCGUGCGGGAUGACGGCCUUCGGGUUGUAAACCGCUUUCGCCUGUGACGAAGCGUGAGUGACGGUAAUGGGUAAAGAAGCACCGGCUAACUACGUG
RNAcentral lists this ribosomal RNA (468 nucleotides) under uncultured bacterium. Its description in RNAcentral is "partial 16S ribosomal RNA". It matches the Rfam family "Bacterial small subunit ribosomal RNA", at positions 28 to 507 of the family's 1533-position model. The record is from RNAcentral.